This is a non-coding RNA of Phrynosoma platyrhinos (Desert horned lizard), 72 nucleotides long. The record is from the annotation of a GenBank genome assembly. Lineage: Eukaryota; Metazoa; Chordata; Lepidosauria; Squamata; Phrynosomatidae.
GCCAGCGUGGUGUAGUGGUUUGAGUGCUACAUUACUACUCUAGAGACUAGGGUUCGAGUCCUCGCUCAGCUG